Long non-coding RNA from Chelonia mydas (Green sea turtle), 3738 nucleotides. RefSeq lists it as uncharacterized. The transcript has 3 exons. NCBI's taxonomy places the organism in Eukaryota, Metazoa, Chordata, Testudines, Cheloniidae. The record is from RefSeq and is a predicted model, not a curated record.
UGUAACCCAACACAAGCCAAAGUUGAUCACUUUGAGCAACACCGCUCUGUCUGCUGGAUAUCUAAGCAGAGUAGGUUUCUUCACGUAAAUACAGUCUGCACCUGAAGUCUCUCCCCAUCCCCAACUAGCUGUCAGGGGAGAGCUCAUUCAGACCCUGCUUACAAUACCACAACAAUAUUUCAAGGUGCAAUGCCAAGGAAAAGCAUUAGAGGUCAAGUGAUAGACUGGGUAGACAUAGACUGGGUGUCAGUAACACCUGCUGAUGAUGAUACCUGCAGCAGAAUUUGCACAAACACCCAUAGUUAGCCAUCAGCACUAAAACAACCUUCUCAUGUAUACAAGUUCUCCUGACAUACCCAGCUAUAUCCAGUAGUGCCCUUGCUCUGCUUUAUUUCCAAAGAGCUUCCUAUAGUGUUCUCUUCCCUCUGAGCCUGAAGUCUCAACACCACUGAACUACAGAAUCCAUCUCAGGCAAUGCUAGACAGAUACUAAUAAACAGUGAAAUCCCCACAACGCCUCCCAGCCUUGAGAACUCCACAGCUGACUGUAGAUUGUUCAUCUAGCGAUCUCCAAAAAGCAGUUACACAUAGGAUUUGGAUUUUCUCACCUUUGCAGGUAGGGAGGUGAAGGAAGAUAAUUGCUACAGGGAGGGGAUGGGGAAACAGAAGGAAGUGAAAGAUCUAGGCAGGAAGAUCUCAAGAAAAAUAAAGAAAGAUCUCUCAGUGGGAGGGGAGUAUUUGUUCAAAUGUACUCAAAGAGAAGCCUGAGUGACAAUGAAUCAAUAUAUAAAAAACUACUAAUGAAUUUAAAACUAAAUUACUAAAUAACUGGGUGUUACCAUUUGAGUUUUGAUUGAAUUUGUUUUAAAAAUAUCCCUGGAUUUCCAAAAUAUUCCACAGAUUCUGAGGAGAAAAUUGUGGAAAACAAGAAACAUUUCCAUAGCCCUGGUACUGCAACAAUAGAAUUUCAAUACGCUCAGCACAAGGCCGAGUCUUUCAGGAAUGGAAGGAAAGAAUAACUUCUACUACACUCCUGGGGGCAGAAUGCAAUAACAUGAGUUAGAAUUUGCUUGGGAGCCAGGGUUAAUACCUCUGAAUCUCUUCUAUAAAGUGCUGAAGAAAUGUUUGUGACCAUGACUGCUCAGAAGACCAGUUUUGGAUGUCAUCUAGAAGAACAUUAUACACCAUUCCAAUUUCUCCCCUACCCGGUUUUCACAGGGGAAGUCAUAGGAGGGGGAGGGGCUCUGGCCUCCUCAUCACUUCCUGUCACCUUCAUAAAAACCAAGAGGUAAACAAGAGAGAAGAAUAAAAUUCACUGGCAAAAAUGUUGAGAUUGCUGCUGCUUCUGGUGCCUGGCUCUGGACUGGGAGUUCUCAUCUCUCAGUUCCCUAGAACUGCAACCCAGAGACCUGGAGAAACCAUGAAGAUAACGUGUGUCCAGAAUGAAACCAGCUACUCUUACAUGUACUGGUACAAGCAGCUCCAGGGAGAUGGUCCAAGGUUAAUAGCCCAAAGUGUGGAUAUGUCUAGUACCACUCAUGAGAAGGGGUAUAAUGCAUCCAAGUUUCCAAUCACUAGACCCAAUACCAAGAUUUCUUCCAUGAGCAUUGUGGAUCUGAGAACCCAGGAUUCAGCCAACUACUUCUGUGCUGCCAGUGAGCACACAGUGCUGUGAGGAGAUCAGCAACUCAUUCAGAAACUUGCCCCAUAAAUGAGAGAGAGCUGACAACAAUGGGAGAGAGAGAGAAAGAGAGAGAGAUGCUGACAGGCCAAAGCACACCUGACUUCAAAACCACAGAGGCAUUGUUCGUUUCCCAUAAAAACGGAUAUUUUGCAGCUGUCAGUGGCAUGCCAAGUAAAAGGCCUACUGUAGCCCGUAUUGUUCAGACGAACAGCUUUGUUUUGUGUUAUUUUCUGAGUUUUCUGUUUUAAUUAAUAAACUUAAAAAAGACCUGAAAGAUAUUUAGGCGUUAGUCGCUCCUAGACUUUCAGGCCAGCAUUUCUACAAACCAAUAAAAUAUUGUUGAGUACAAUGCUAGGGGCCACCACCCGGGAUUAAUCGUGAAGUAUGAUGGGCUCCGCUCUCUUUCUCUCUUUGUGAAUGUGUCUGUGUUUGUGCAUGCAACUGUUUUUCACUUUUGUAAGGUUCAAGUGACUCUAUGAAUCCUAGUUUAUGUUACCUAUGGAUUGGAGGCCAGUAACAUUUCCUGGUAAAUCUCCCUGUCGCAGAAGCACAAUUGUUCACACUGACAUCCAAGUUUGAUCUUGGCACUAAAAUCAUUUAUUCUUAUUUUUUUAUUACAGAAACACAUAAAGGCCUCAAGAGCAAGGCCCCACUGUGCCAGGCCUUGUACAAACCCAUAGCAAGAGACUGGUCCCUGCUUUACAAGCUCAAAAUCUGAACAGACAAGACAGACAAAGGGUGAGGGGAGAAACAGAAGCCCAGAGAGGGGGACUGGCCUGCAUGGCUUCCUUCUCCUCCCACAGCUGAGAGGGGGCAGGAGUCCUUGACACAACCUCCUCCAUAUCCCUGACUAUCUUGGAGAGCUGGUAGAAAGGAUACAGUGAGAGGGAACAGGAAUAUGGCACUUUCUCUAUCAUGAGAGUAGGAGGCUCUCUACAUGGUACGGUCUCGUGGGUUAUUCUGGGACGGGCAUCCAAUAUCCUCUUUGGCUUGGAGAAUGGGAAUGGGACAGUCGUUCUUGGUUCCCAUCAGCUGGUGAAUAUAAUAAGAUCAGACUUUCUCUCAUGCCAGUUACAGUGCUCCAGCUCCCAGCCAGAAGACACAAGUUCUGAGGCCACCGCAGAAAUAGGAGAAAACUGCUGUAAGAAAAAUAAUUAAUGAAACCUUUUUGAGACCUAAUAGGAAGUUUGGGUUAAUUCUUACAUCUUUGGUCUAGAGCUAACCAUAGUAGUCUAUUGGAGUGUGCAACUGUCUCCCCAAGGGAUGUGGUGGGGGCCCCAUUACUUGAGACAUCAAACACUGGGCCGGACAAAGCGUUACUCAAUAGUCUGUAAGGGCUUUUCCCGGCUCUGUCUUCUCUGAUUCAUUUACUUCUUUUCUGCAGUCUAGAAAGUUUGUGAUUUCACCAGGCAAUAAUUUGCAGUAACUAAAUCAUGGGUUCAGCACUAGGCAGCUGCUAGAAGAAACUAGGACUGAUGGAGGAAGGUGAAUUUAGGUUUCAACAGGUGAUGUCACUAACAAGGGCCAGGUGAGUGGCUGCUUGUGGGGCUGUGCAAGAUGCAUCCCUGAGCAGAAAAUCUGACGUGUUCUCUAACUGCCCGUUUCAUUUUGUCUUAGGUGACUCAAAUGUUCAAAAGUUUAGGAUCUCAAGGGUGAAUAUGAAAACCAGCUACAGGCAUCUGAAGGAUCUGAACACCUAGGACUAUAAGUGGCUCAUGUUACAGCCAUCGGGGUGUUUUCUCCAUUGUAAAGUUCUGGAAAUAACAAUGCUCCAUUAUUUUUCAUCGUCAGUUGUCAUGGUAAAUACACAAUAACAAAAAGCUUUUCUUUUACUGGUGAAUCUUAGUGCCAGGGAAAGGUGCUAGACAUGACAGCUCCCAGAAACUGAACCAUAAUCUUUAACCAGAGCAUACAUACAUCCCUUUGCUUCCAUUGACAUUUGAUGAGACCUCAACACAGUUCUCCUUCACCUCUCUGGAAAUGGCUCUCUCUCCUACAACAUGCAAACAGUAUGUCAGACACGUGUAUAAUUAAAUAAACAUAUUAGUGAACUGU